UGGGGAAUUUUGGACAAUGGGCGCAAGCCUGAUCCAGCCAUGCCGCGUGCGGGAAGAAGGCCUUCGGGUUGUAAACCGCUUUUGUCAGGGAAGAAAUCUUCUGAGUUAAUACCUCGGGAGGAUGACGGUACCUGAAGAAUAAGCACCGGCUAACUACGUGCCAGCAGCCGCGGUAAUACGUAGGGUGCAAGCGUUAAUCGGAAUUACUGGGCGUAAAGCGUGCGCAGGCGGUUUUGUAAGACAGAGGUGAAAUCCCCGGGCUCAACCUGGGAACUGCCUUUGUGACUGCAAGGCUUGAGUGCGGCAGAGGGGGAUGGAAUUCCGCGUGUAGCAGUGAAAUGCGUAGAUAUGCGGAGGAACACCGAUGGCGAAGGCAAUCCCCUGGGCCUGCACUGACGCUCAUGCACGAAAGCGUGGGGAGCAAACAGGAUUAGAUAGCCCUGGUAGUCCACGCCCUAAACGAUGUCAACUGGUUGUUGGGAAGGUUCCUUCUCAGUAACGUAGCUAACGCGUGAAGUUGACCGCCUGGGGAGUACGGCCGCAAGGUUGAAACUUAAAUGAAUU
RNAcentral lists this ribosomal RNA (564 nucleotides) under uncultured bacterium. RNAcentral describes it as "partial 16S ribosomal RNA". It matches the Rfam family "Bacterial small subunit ribosomal RNA", at positions 355 to 911 of the family's 1533-position model. The record is from RNAcentral.